UACGUAGGGCGCAAGCGUUGUCCGGAAUUAUUGGGCGUAAAGAGCUCGUAGGCGGUUUGUUGCGUCGGCUGUGAAAUCCCGAGGCUCAACCUCGGGUCUGCAGUCGAUACGAGCAAACUAGAGUGUUGCAGGGGAGACUGGAAUUCCUGGUGUAGCGGUGAAAUGCGCAGAUAUCAGGAGGAACACCGGUGGCGAAGGCGGGUCUCUGGGCAUUAACUGACGCUGAGGAGCGAAAGCAUGGGGAGCGAACAGG
Molecule: ribosomal RNA, 253 nt
Filed under: uncultured bacterium
Lineage: Bacteria
Description: partial 16S ribosomal RNA
Rfam family: Bacterial small subunit ribosomal RNA
Source: RNAcentral